Molecule: ribosomal RNA, 912 nt
Filed under: Escherichia coli
Lineage: Bacteria; Pseudomonadati; Pseudomonadota; Gammaproteobacteria; Enterobacterales; Enterobacteriaceae
Description: partial 23S ribosomal RNA
Rfam family: Bacterial large subunit ribosomal RNA
Source: RNAcentral
GUUAAGCGACUAAGCGUACACGGUGGAUGCCCUGGCAGUCAGAGGCGAUGAAGGACGUGCUAAUCUGCGAUAAGCGUCGGUAAGGUGAUAUGAACCGUUAUAACCGGCGAUUUCCGAAUGGGGAAACCCAGUGUGAUUCGUCACACUAUCAUUAACUGAAUCCAUAGGUUAAUGAGGCGAACCGGGGGAACUGAAACAUCUAAGUACCCCGAGGAAAAGAAAUCAACCGAGAUUCCCCCAGUAGCGGCGAGCGAACGGGGAGCAGCCCAGAGCCUGAAUCAGUGUGUGUGUUAGUGGAAGUGUCUGGAAAGGCGCGCGAUACAGGGUGACAGCCCCGUACACAAAAAUGCACAUACUGUGAGCUCGAUGAGUAGGGCGGGACACGUGGUAUCCUGUCUGAAUAUGGGGGGACCAUCCUCCAAGGCUAAAUACUCCUGACUGACCGAUAGUGAACCAGUACCGUGAGGGAAAGGCGAAAAGAACCCCGGCGAGGGGAGUGAAAAAGAACCUGAAACCGUGUACGUACAAGCAGUGGGAGCACGCUUCGGCGUGUGACUGCGUACCUUUUGUAUAAUGGGUCAGCGACUUAUAUUCUGUAGCAAGGUUAACCGAAUAGGGGAGCCGAAGGGAAACCGAGUCUUAACUGGGCGUUAAGUUGCAGGGUAUAGACCCGAAACCCGGUGAUCUAGCCAUGGGCAGGUUGAAGGUUGGGUAACACUAACUGGAGGACCGAACCGACUAAUGUUGAAAAAUUAGCGGAUGACUUGUGGCUGGGGGUGAAAGGCCAAUCAAACCGGGAGAUAGCUGGUUCUCCCCGAAAGCUAUUUAGGUAGCGCCUCGUGAAUUCAUCUCCGGGGGUAGAGCACUGUUUCGGCAAGGGGGUCAUCCCGACUUACCAACCCGAUGCAAACU